RNAcentral lists this ribosomal RNA (460 nucleotides) under uncultured bacterium. Its description in RNAcentral is "partial 16S ribosomal RNA". It matches the Rfam family "Bacterial small subunit ribosomal RNA", at positions 338 to 795 of the family's 1533-position model. The record is from RNAcentral.
CCUACGGGAGGCAGCAGUGAGGAAUAUUGGUCAAUGGGCGCGAGCCUGAACCAGCCAAGUAGCGUGAAGGAUGAAUGCCCUACGGGUUGUAAACUUCUUUUAUAAAGGACUAAAGUGAGGCACGUGUGCCUUUUUGUAUGUGCUUGAUGAAUAAGGAUCGGCUAACUCCGUGCUAGUAGCCGCGGAAAUACGGCGGAUCCGAGCGUUAUCAGGAUUUAUGGGGUUUAAAGGGAGCGUAGAUGGGUUUUUAAGUCAGUUGUGAACGUUUGCGGCUCAACCUUAAAAUUGCAAUUGAUACUGGCAGCCUUGAGUACAGUUGAGGUAGGCGGAAUUCGUGGUGUAGCGGUGAAAUGCUUAGAUAUCACGAAGAACUCCGAUUGCGAAGGCAGCUUACUAAACUGCCACUGACAUUGAUGCUCGAAAGUGUGGGUAUCAAACAGGAUUAGAUACCCGUGUAGUC